UGCACCCGGUCACAUCUGUUGACCCAACGGCUCUUCACCUUCAACAGGUACGUGAUCAAUGGCGGAGUCUGACUUGAAUAUCAUGACUCUAAAUUAUUUUGCAUACAGGAUGACGGAGUUUAUCUUAAAUGUUGAAACUCAUCUUGAGUCUCGACUAUGAACACUAAGACUCUCAUUCGAGUCGCAAGCUAACCAGCUGUUGCUUUAUGACUAGCUAUAGACUUCAUUCAGUCAGCUAUUGUUUAUUCUUUAUUCAUAACAGCAAAAAUAGGGCAAUGACCCUGACACAAAACAGUCGAUUCCAUAUAAUCAACUCAAGUGAGUCGCACCAGCUGCGUCACCACAGUUGUUUAUGUGCAUUCGUAUAACGGUAAGCCUCUUGGGUUUCAUCCAAAGAGCCUGGAGCCGCACCAGCUGCGCUGCUCUAGUAAAAUCCAUGCUCAUUGCAUGAAGAUAAGCCUCAUGGAUCUCUCCAUCGAGCCUGAAAUCGUACCAGCUGCGUAUUUCAGUUUAACAUCCCAACUUUUACAAAUUUUGCAUCAUGCAUUUGCACUCAUAAGCAUCAUGCCAUUUAUGCACUUUGAGCAAUAUAAACCAUUUUCCAAAAGUUAAAAAUCCUUUUUAUUUAGCCUUUACUUUCUAAUCUUCUUUGUUAUCUUUUUGGAAUUUCUCAACCCAUAGGGUUUAGUCAAUAUUAAAAAGGUUUAUUGCGUCAAGAUAAGCUACCCCAUAAUUUUUGGAAAUUGUUUUGGAGUUGAAAACUAUUUAUUUCAAAAUAAUGUUGCACUAGGGGGCAACUAUUUUAUGCAAAACUAUUUUUAAACAUUUGAUUUUGGAAGGAAUCCAGCCCCAGAUGCUUUAGCAUGGAAGGAUAGGGUUCUAUUAAUUUUCUGGGAUUUAUUUGGAGUCAUUUGGAGUUAUAAAUCAAAAGUUAGGAGGGAAAAAAAGAAAAAGAGAAAAAGAAAAGAUCAAAAAGAAGGGGAAACCAGGCCGUCCCGACCGAACCGUCUGAACCGGCCCGACCUGCACCCGCACGCGUGCGCGCACAGCGCCUGCCCGCGCGGUUUGUACCGCGAGCCCGCCCCGCUACGCACUUCCCCC
Molecule: long non-coding RNA, 1101 nt
Filed under: Brachypodium distachyon (stiff brome)
Lineage: Eukaryota; Viridiplantae; Streptophyta; Magnoliopsida; Poales; Poaceae
Description: long non-coding RNA (BDIS_LNC005590)
Source: RNAcentral